AAUAGAUGACGCCGUUGACUUUUUCUCACAUGUUUUGACCAUUCGUUUUAUUCAAAAAAUUUACAUAAUUAUAAAUUAUUUUGUUAUGAGUUGUUUUAUCACUCAUAGUACUUUAAGUGUGAUUUAUAUCUUAUACAUUUGUAUAAUUUUUUUUGAAUAAGACGAAUGGUCAAACAUAUGAGAAAAAAUCAAUGGCGUUAUCUAUU
RNAcentral lists this microRNA precursor (206 nucleotides) under Oryza glumipatula. RNAcentral describes it as "MIR812 microRNA precursor family". It matches the Rfam family "MIR812 microRNA precursor family". The record is from Rfam by way of RNAcentral. Lineage: Eukaryota; Viridiplantae; Streptophyta; Magnoliopsida; Poales; Poaceae.